UUGACCUCAGAUCGGGUAGGACCACCGCCUGAACUUAAGCAUAUCAAUAAGGCGAGGAACAGAAACCAACGGGGAUUCCCUCAGUAGUGGCGAAUGAAGCGGGAAAAGCUCAAGUUUGAAAUCCGUCGGGCGACCGUCGGAGUUGUAAGCUGAAGAGGCGUCGGCCGACACGGCCCGGGCUCAAUUUCCUUGGAACAGGAGGUCAUGGAGGGUGAGAACCCCGUCUGUGGCUCGAGCGCCGUUGUCCUUGUGCCAUGCCCUCGAAGAGUCGGGUUGUUUGGGAAUGCAGCUCAAAAUGGGUGGUAAAUUUCAUCUAAGGCUAAAUAUUGGCGAGAGACCGAUAGCAAACAAGUAGAGUGAUCGAAAGAUGAAAAGUACUUUGAAAAGAGAGUGAAACAGUACGUGAAAUUGUUGAAAGGGAAGCGUUUGGCAUCAGCCCAUGGCGCCCAAAGAUCAUCCGGGCUUCUGUCCGGUGCACUUUUUGGGCGUCGGGCCAGCGUCGACUUUGCCUGCUGGAGAAAGGCCUUGGGGAUGUGGCUCCCUUCGGGGAGCGUUAUAACCCUUGGCGUCAUGCAGUGUGGUGGGGUCGAGGUCCACG
This 598-nucleotide ribosomal RNA is filed under the name uncultured fungus. Its description in RNAcentral is "eukaryotic LSU rRNA". It matches the Rfam family "Eukaryotic large subunit ribosomal RNA", at positions 1 to 600 of the family's 3401-position model. Lineage: Eukaryota; Fungi. The record is from RNAcentral.